Molecule: long non-coding RNA, 665 nt
Filed under: Capra hircus (goat)
Lineage: Eukaryota; Metazoa; Chordata; Mammalia; Artiodactyla; Bovidae
Description: lncRNA (ENSCHIG00010024514.1)
Source: RNAcentral
GUGGCCAAAUACAUAAAGAUAUACAUUUUUAAAACAAAUAAUAAAGACUGAGAGGAACCCCCUCCCUCCCAGCCUCUGGUGGUUUGUUAGGAAUCCUGGAUGUGUUUUGCUCUAUCUUCACGUUAACUCGUUGUUUUCCUUCUGUGGGUUCAAAUUCCCACUUUAUAUAAGAACUGUCACAUUGAAUUGAGGCCCAGCCUGUUCCAGUAUAACCUCAUCUUAUCACUCCUGGAGUGAACCUUUUACCAAAUAAGGUCACAUUCUUAGCUCCUGGAGGUGAAGACUGAACACACAGAUUUGAGGAGGGAUGUGAUUCAGCGUCCAACAAGCUUCUCGCCAAAGGUUUUGUUGAAAGAUUAUUCAGCCAUCUGAUCAAGUUUGUGUGACAUGCCCUAGUGAUGCAAGUGUUCACAGAAGCCAAGCUUACUAACCAUCACUUACUACCAGUAACCGUGCACCAGGAGGAGCAGAGCACGGCGUGGCGGAGGGGAGGAAACACGUCUCCUGACAGCAACUAGGUUUGCUGCUCAACUGGCUGCCACUAAGGACAUUUGCUGCGUCAACUGUGAAGAAGGUUUAUUAGAAAGUGAUGCUGGCUCUUUGCAGACACAAGUUGCAACUUUGUAGGCAAAUAAAAAGAUGCAUCGAGCUUAAACGUUAUUUAU